Molecule: long non-coding RNA, 3662 nt
Filed under: Cucumis sativus (cucumber)
Lineage: Eukaryota; Viridiplantae; Streptophyta; Magnoliopsida; Cucurbitales; Cucurbitaceae
Description: long non-coding RNA (CSAT_LNC000179)
Source: RNAcentral
CUACUGGGUGGUCCGAUUCUGAGUGAUCUCGAAGUUUCUUGCCCACAAAAGCCGAACGGUGACGCCCCAGACUCGGUUUCUUGGUUCCGUCCCAAAACGCCGAAGAAAGACACAAUGGCCUAGAAAGGGACGGUCGGACUUGGAACGGGGUCCGAGGCCUCGAAAGUCCACAUCUAGCUACUGGGUGGUCCGAUUCUGAGUGAUCUCGAAGUUUCUUGCCCACAAAAAGCCGAACGGUGACGCCCAGACUCGGUUUCUUGGUUCCGUCCCAAAACGCCGAAGAAAGGCACAAUGGCCUAGAAAGGGACGGUCGGACUUGGAACGGGGUCCGAGGCCUCGAAAGUCCACAUCUAGCUACUGGGUGGUCCGAUUCUGAGUGAUCUCGAAGUUUCUUGCCCACAAAAGCCGAACGGUGACGCCCCAGACUCGGUUUCUUGGUUCCGUCCCAAAACGCCGAAGAAAGGCACAAUGGCCUAGAAAGGGACGGUCGGACUUGGAACGGGGUCCGAGGCCUCGAAAGUCCACAUCUAGCUACUGGGUGGUCCGAUUCUGAGUGAUCUCGAAGUUUCUUGCCCACAAAAGCCGAACGGUGACGCCCCAGACUCGGUUUCUUGGUUCCGUCCCAAAACGCCGAAGAAAGGCACAAUGGCCUAGAAAGGGACGGUCGGACUUGGAACGGGGUCCGAGGCCUCGAAAGUCCACAUCUAGCUACUGGGUGGUCCGAUUCUUUGUGAUCUCGAAGUUUCUUGCCCACAAAAGCCGAACGGUGACGCCCCAGACUCGGUUUCUUGGUUCCGUCCCAAAACGCCGAAGAAAGGCACAAUGGCCUAGAAAGGGACGGUCGGACUUGGAACGGGGUCCGAGGCCUCGAAAGUCCACAUCUAGCUACUGGGUGGUCCGAUUCUGAGUGAUCUCGAAGUUUCUUGCCCACAAAAGCCGAACGGUGACGCCCCAGACUCGGUUUCUUGGUUCCGUCCCAAAACGCCGAAGAAAGGCACAAUGGCCUAGAAAGGGACGGUCGGACUUGGAACGGGGUCCGAGGCCUCGAAAGUCCACAUCUAGCUACUGGGUGGUCCGAUUCUGAGUGAUCUCGAAGUUUCUUGCCCACAAAAGCCGAACGGUGACGCCCCAGACUCGGUUUCUUGGUUCCGUCCCAAAACGCCGAAGAAAGGCACAAUGGCCUAGAAAGGGACGGUCGGACUUGGAACGGGGUCCGAGGCCUCGAAAGUCCACAUCUAGCUACUGGGUGGUCCGAUUCUGAGUGAUCUCGAAGUUUCUUGCCCACAAAAGCCGAACGGUGACGCCCCAGACUCGGUUUCUUGGUUCCGUCCCAAAAACGCCGAAGAAAGGCCCAAUGGCCUAGAAAGGGACGGUCGGACGUGGAACGGGGUCCGAGGCGUCGAAAGUCAACAUCUAGCUACUGGGUGGUCCGAUUCUGAGUGAUCUCGAAGUUUAUUGCCCACAAAAGCCGAACGGUGACGCCCCAGACUCGGUUUCUUGGUUCCGUCCCAAAACGCCGAAGAAAGGCACAAUGGCCUAGAAAGGGACGGUCGGACUUGGAACGGGGUCCGAGGCCUCGAAAGUCCACAUCUAGCUACUGGGUGGUCCGAUUCUGAGUGAUCUCGAAGUUUCUUGCCCACAAAAGCCGAACGGUGACGCCCCAGACUCGGUUUCUUGGUUCCGUCCCAAAACGCCGAAGAAAGGCACAAUGGCCUAGAAAGGGACGGUCGGACUUGGAACGGGGUCCGAGGCCUCGAAAGUCCACAUCUAGCUACUGGGUGGUCCGAUUCUUUGUGAUCUCGAAGUUUCUUGCCCACAAAAGCCGAACGGUGACGCCCCAGACUCGGUUUCUUGGUUCCGUCCCAAAACGCCGAAGAAAGGCACAAUGGCCUAGAAAGGGACGGUCGGACUUGGAACGGGGUCCGAGGCCUCGAAAGUCCACAUCUAGCUACUGGGUGGUCCGAUUCUGAGUGAUCUCGAAGUUUCUUGCCCACAAAAGCCGAACGGUGACGCCCCAGACUCGGUUUCUUGGUUCCGUCCCAAAACGCCGAAGAAAGGCACAAUGGCCUAGAAAGGGACGGUCGGACUUGGAACGGGGUCCGAGGCCUCGAAAGUCCACAUCUAGCUACUGGGUGGUCCGAUUCUGAGUGAUCUCGAAGUUUCUUGCCCACAAAAGCCGAACGGUGACGCCCCAGACUCGGUUUCUUGGUUCCGUCCCAAAACGCCGAAGAAAGGCACAAUGGCCUAGAAAGGGACGGUCGGACUUGGAACGGGGUCCGAGGCCUCGAAAGUCCACAUCUAGCUACUGGGUGGUCCGAUUCUUUGUGAUCUCGAAGUUUCUUGCCCACAAAAGCCGAACGGUGACGCCCCAGACUCGGUUUCUUGGUUCCGUCCCAAAACGCCGAAGAAAGGCACAAUGGCCUAGAAAGGGACGGUCGGACUUGGAACGGGGUCCGAGGCCUCGAAAGUCCACAUCUAGCUACUGGGUGGUCCGAUUCUGAGUGAUCUCGAAGUUUCUUGCCCACAAAAGCCGAACGGUGACGCCCCAGACUCGGUUUCUUGGUUCCGUCCCAAAACGCCGAAGAAAGGCACAAUGGCCUAGAAAGGGAAGGUCGGACUUGGAACGGGGUCCGAGGCCUCGAAAGUCAACAUCUAGCUACUGGGUGGUCCGAUUCUGAGUGAUCUCGAAGUUUCUUGCCCACAAAAGCCGAACGGUGACGCCCCAGACUCGGUUUCUUGGUUCCGUCCCAAAACGCCGAAGAAAGGCACAAUGGCCUAGAAAGGGACGGUCGGACUUGGAACGGGGUCCGAGGCCUCGAAAGUCCACAUCUAGCUACUGGGUGGUCCGAUUCUUUGUGAUCUCGAAGUUUCUUGCCCACAAAAGCCGAACGGUGACGCCCCAGACUCGGUUUCUUGGUUCCGUCCCAAAACGCCGAAGAAAGGCACAAUGGCCUAGAAAGGGACGGUCGGACUUGGAACGGGGUUCGAGGCCUCGAAAGUCCACAUCUAGCUACUGGGUGGUCCGAUUCUUUGUGAUCUCGAAGUUUCUUGCCCACAAAAGCCGAACGGUGACGCCCCAGACUCGGUUUCUUGGUUCCGUCCCAAAACGCCGAAGAAAGGCACAAUGGCCUAGAAAGGGACGGUCGGACUUGGAACGGGGUCCGAGGCCUCGAAAGUCCACAUCUAGCUACUGGGUGGUUCGAUUCUGAGUGAUCUCGAAGUUUCUUGCCCACAAAAGCCGAACGGUGACGCCCCAGACUCGGUUUCUUGGUUCCGUCCCAAAACGCCGAAGAAAGGCACAAUGGCCUAGAAGAAAGGACGGUCGUACUUGGAACGGGGUCCGAGGCCUCGAAAGUCCACAUCUAGCGACUGGGUGGUUCGAUUCUGAGUGAUCUCGAAGUUUCUUGCCCACAAAAGCCGAACGGUGACGCCCCAGACUCGGUUUCUUGGUUCCGUCCCAAAACGCCGAAGAAAGGCAAAAUGGCCUAGAAAGGGACGGUCGGACUCGAAACGGGGUCCGAGGCCUCGAAAGUCCACAUCUAGCGACUGGGUGGUCCGAUUCUGAGUGAUCUCGAAGUUUCUUGCCCACAAAAGCAGAACGGUGACGCCCUAGACUCGGUUUCUUGGUUCCGUCCCAAAACGCCAAAGAAAGGCACAAUGAC